This 492-nucleotide ribosomal RNA is filed under the name uncultured bacterium. Its description in RNAcentral is "partial 16S ribosomal RNA". It matches the Rfam family "Bacterial small subunit ribosomal RNA", at positions 29 to 507 of the family's 1533-position model. The record is from RNAcentral.
AGUGAACGCUGGCGGUAGGCCUAACACAUGCAAGUCGAACGGCAGCACAGUAAGAGCUUGCUCUUACGGGUGGCGAGUGGCGGACGGGUGAGGAAUACAUCGGAAUCUACUUUUUCGUGGGGGAUAACGUAGGGAAACUUACGCUAAUACCGCAUACGACCUACGGGUGAAAGCAGGGGAUCUUCGGACCUUGCGCGAUUGAAUGAGCCGAUGUCGGAUUAGCUAGUUGGCGGGGUAAAGGCCCACCAAGGCGACGAUCCGUAGCUGGUCUGAGAGGAUGAUCAGCCACACUGGAACUUAGACACGGUCCAGACUCCUAAGGGAGGCAGCAGUGGGGAAUAUUGGACAAUGGGCGCAAGCCUGAUCCAGCCAUACCGCGUGGGUGAAGAAGGCCUUCGGGUUGUAAAGCCCUUUUGUUGGGAAAGAAAAGCAGCAGGUUAAUACCCCGCUGUUCUGACGGUACCCAAAGAAUAAGCACCGGCUAACUUCGUG